Non-coding RNA from Triticum aestivum (bread wheat), 115 nucleotides. Lineage: Eukaryota; Viridiplantae; Streptophyta; Magnoliopsida; Poales; Poaceae. The record is from Rfam.
AAAGUACUCCCUCCGUCCGGAAUUACUUGUCAUCAAAAUGGAUGUGUCUAGAACUAAAAUACAUCUAGAUACAUCCAUUUCAAUGACAAGUAUUUUCGGACGGAGGGAGUACAAG